ACGGGGGGAGCAAGCGUUGUUCGGAUUUACUGGGCGUAAAGGGCGCGUAGGCGGCCACCGCAAGUCGACUGUGAAAUCUCUGGGCUUAACCCAGAAAGGUCAGCCGAUACUGCGGGGCUAGAGUGCGGAAGGGGCAACUGGAAUUCUCGGUGUAGCGGUGAAAUGCGUAGAUAUCGAGAGGAACACCGAUGGCGAAGGCAGGUCUCUGGGCAUUAACUGACGCUGAGGAGCGAAAGCAUGGGGAGCGAACUGGAU
This 255-nucleotide ribosomal RNA is filed under the name uncultured prokaryote. RNAcentral's name for it is "partial 16S ribosomal RNA". It matches the Rfam family "Bacterial small subunit ribosomal RNA", at positions 525 to 778 of the family's 1533-position model. The record is from RNAcentral.